UAAAAGGUAACGGAGGCGCUCAAAGGUUCCCUCAGAAUGGUUGGAAAUCAUUCAUAGAGUGUAAAGGCAUAAGGGAGCUUGACUGCGAGACCUACAAGUCGAGCAGGGUCGAAAGACGGACUUAGUGAUCCGGUGGUUCCGCAUGGAAGGGCCAUCGCUCAACGGAUAAAAGCUACCCCGGGGAUAACAGGCUUAUCUCCCCCAAGAGUUCACAUCGACGGGGAGGUUUGGCACCUCGAUGUCGGCUCAUCGCAUCCUGGGGCUGUAGUCGGUCCCAAGGGUUGGGCUGUUCGCCCAUUAAAGCGGUACGCGAGCUGGGUUCAGAACGUCGUGAGACAGUUCGGUCCCUAUCCGUCGUGGGCGUAGGAAAUUUGAGAGGAGCUGUCCUUAGUACGAGAGGACCGGGAUGGACAUACCUCUGGUGUACCAGUUGUCGUGCCAACGGCAUAGCUGGGUAGCUAUGUGUGGACGGGAUAAGUGCUGAAAGCAUCUAAGCAUGAAGCCCCCCUCAAGAUGAGAUUUCCCAACUUCGGUUAUAAGAUCCCUCAAAGAUGAUGAGGUUAAUAGGUUCGAGGUGGAAGUAUGGUGACAUGUGGAGCUGACGAAUACUAAUCGAUCGAAGACUUAAUCAAAUU
Molecule: ribosomal RNA, 635 nt
Filed under: Staphylococcus aureus
Lineage: Bacteria; Bacillati; Bacillota; Bacilli; Caryophanales; Staphylococcaceae
Description: partial 23S ribosomal RNA
Rfam family: Bacterial large subunit ribosomal RNA
Source: RNAcentral